CCUACGGGUGGCAGCAGUGGGGAAUAUUGCACAAUGGGCGCAAGCCUGAUGCAGCCAUGCCGCGUGUGUGAAGAAGGCCUUCGGGUUGUAAAGCACUUUCAGCGGGGAGGAAGGCGGUGAGGUUAAUAACCUCAUCGAUUGACGUUACCCGCAGAAGAAGCACCGGCUAACUCCGUGCCAGCAGCCGCGGUAAUACGGAGGGUGCAAGCGUUAAUCGGAAUUACUGGGCGUAAAGCGCACGCAGGCGGUCCGUCAAGUCGGAUGUGAAAUCCCCGGGCUCAACCUGGGAACUGCAUUCGAAACUGGCAGGCUAGAGUCUUGUAGAGGGGGGUAGAAUUCCAGGUGUAGCGGUGAAAUGCGUAGAGAUCUGGAGGAAUACCGGUGGCGAAGGCGGCCCCCUGGACAAAGACUGACGCUCAGGUGCGAAAGCGUGGGGAGCAAACAGGAUUAGAUACCCCUGUAGUC
RNAcentral lists this ribosomal RNA (465 nucleotides) under uncultured Klebsiella sp. Its description in RNAcentral is "bacterial SSU rRNA". It matches the Rfam family "Bacterial small subunit ribosomal RNA", at positions 338 to 795 of the family's 1533-position model. Lineage: Bacteria; Pseudomonadati; Pseudomonadota; Gammaproteobacteria; Enterobacterales; Enterobacteriaceae. The record is from RNAcentral.